CACGUAGGGGGCAAGCGUUGUCCGGAUUUAUUGGGCGUAAAGAGCUCGUAGGCGGCUCAGUAAGUCGGGUGUGAAACCUCCAGGCUCAACCUGGAGACGCCACCCGAUACUGCUGUGGCUUGAGUCCGGUAGGGGAGCGUGGAAUUCCUGGUGUAGCGGUGAAAUGCGCAGAUAUCAGGAGGAACACCGGUGGCGAAGGCGGGUCUCUGGGCCGAUACUGACGCUGAGGAGCGAAAGCGUGGGGAGCGAACAGG
Molecule: ribosomal RNA, 254 nt
Filed under: uncultured bacterium
Lineage: Bacteria
Description: partial 16S ribosomal RNA
Rfam family: Bacterial small subunit ribosomal RNA
Source: RNAcentral